Molecule: regulatory RNA element, 108 nt
Organism: Peptostreptococcaceae bacterium oral taxon 113
Lineage: Bacteria; Bacillati; Bacillota; Clostridia; Peptostreptococcales; Peptostreptococcaceae
Rfam family: TPP riboswitch aptamer (THI element)
About the family: Vitamin B(1) in its active form thiamin pyrophosphate (TPP) is an essential coenzyme that is synthesised by coupling of pyrimidine and thiazole moieties in bacteria.
Source: Rfam
AAAAGAAUGAAGGGGAGCUUAUACGGCUGAGAGGUGACGAUGAAAUGCGUUACGACCCUAUGACCUGAUUUGGAUAAUGCCAACGUAGGGAGAUUUGCUAUAUUGACG